Molecule: RNA transcript, 688 nt
Organism: Odobenus rosmarus divergens (Pacific walrus)
Lineage: Eukaryota; Metazoa; Chordata; Mammalia; Carnivora; Odobenidae
Gene name: serine/threonine-protein kinase VRK2-like
Exons: 1
Source: RefSeq, a predicted model, not a curated record
CGCGAAGUGAUGCCACCAAGAAGAAAUGAGAAAUACAAACUUCCUGUUCCACUUCCAGAAGGCAAGGUUCUGGAUGAUAUGGAAGGAAAGCAAUAGAUACUGGGCAAAAUGACUGGCUCUGGAGGAUUUGGACUGAUAUAUUUAGCUUUUCCCGCAAAUAAACCAGAUAAAGAUGCAAGACAUGUAGUAAAAGUGGAAUAUCAAGAAAAUGGCCCUUUAUUUUCAGAACUUAAAUUUUAUCAAAGAGCUGCAAAAAAAGACUAUCAAAAACUGGAUAGAACUCAAACAACUUGAUUAUUUAGGAAUUCCUCUGUUUUAUGGAUCCAGUAUUACUGAAUUCAAGGGAAGAAGUUACAGAUUUAUGGUAAUGGAAAAACUAGGAAUAGACCUACAGAAGAUCUCAGACCAGAAUGGUACUUUUAAAAAGUCAACUGUCCUGCAGCUAGGUAUCCGAAUGGUCGAUGUACUGGAAUAUAUACAUGAAAAUGAAUAUGUUCAUGGUGAUAUAAAAGCAGCAAAUCUACUGUUAGGUUACAGAAAUCCUGAUCAGGUUUAUCUUGCAGAUUAUGGACUUUGCUACAGAUAUUGUCCCAAUGGGAACCACAAAGAGUAUCAGGAAAAUCCUAGAAAAGGCCAUAAUGGGACAAUAUAGUUUACCAGCAUGGAUGCCCACAAGGGAGUAGAUUUG